RNAcentral lists this ribosomal RNA (627 nucleotides) under Triticum aestivum (bread wheat). Its description in RNAcentral is "partial small subunit ribosomal RNA". Lineage: Eukaryota; Viridiplantae; Streptophyta; Magnoliopsida; Poales; Poaceae. The record is from RNAcentral.
AUGUCGUCCUCCUCCUUGUCCAAGGCCAGAUUCGAGGGUAAAGGAGGCGGAGCCGGGAGAUCCAUAUCGCUGGCCGCCUCCAGGGCCAAGCUCGCCGCAGCCACCAAGAAAGCUACUACUACUAGUACAGCCGGAGGCGGGCGGGGCAAGGGCAAGGCGGCCAAGAAGGUCUUCUCCCUCACCGGCCAGAAGUUCGAAACACCAGAGGAGAGGGAGCCCCUGAGGAUCUUCUAUCAAUCGCUCUCCAACCAGAUCCCAUCCAGCGACAUGGCCGAAUUCUGGCUAAUGGAGCACGGCCUGUUAUCUCCGGAGAGAGCCAAGAAAGCCUACGACAGGAAGCUCAAACGGCAGCAGCAGAUCAAAUCAGGGAUCCCCAUCAAGUCGUCAAAUUCCACCACUGUCAACAAGCACAAUAACAACAAUAAACCUGCAGAGAGCUGGAAGAAACCUGUACCAGUGGUUUCUUCUUCUUCCACAGCGCGUCACAACACAGAUCAUUCCGCCGGCAAGGCCAAGAGAAGAGUCGAGUACAGCAGCGACGACGACGACGACGACAAAGAAUUCAUUGUCAAGCUCAAGAGACCCAAUUUCAACUCCAACUCCAAUUCCACUUCCAGGGGUGGCUGA